UACAGAGGUCUCAAGCGUUGUCCGGAAUCAUUGGGCGUAAAGAGCGUGUAGGCGGCCCGAUAAGUCCGCUGUGAAAGUCCAGGGCUCAACCCUGGGAUGCCGGUGGAUACUGUCGGGCUCGAGUCCGGAAGAGGAGUGUGGAAUUCCUGGUGUAGCGGUGAAAUGCGCAGAUAUCAGGAGGAACACCAAUGGCGAAGGCAGCACUCUGGGACGUGACUGACGCUGAGACGCGAAAGCGUGGGGAGCAAACAGG
RNAcentral lists this ribosomal RNA (253 nucleotides) under uncultured bacterium. RNAcentral's name for it is "partial 16S ribosomal RNA". It matches the Rfam family "Bacterial small subunit ribosomal RNA", at positions 524 to 776 of the family's 1533-position model. The record is from RNAcentral.